This is a long non-coding RNA of Mytilus trossulus (common blue mussel), 414 nucleotides long. RefSeq lists it as uncharacterized. The record is from RefSeq and is a predicted model, not a curated record. Lineage: Eukaryota; Metazoa; Mollusca; Bivalvia; Mytilida; Mytilidae. The transcript has 3 exons.
UAUAAUUUGCGUAGUCAAGAAAACCGGUUUUGAAUAGUUGUGCAAAUGAUAUAUAAACAGCUGAACGCCAUAUGUCCCAAACACCCGUCAUCAAUUUCUGUUCGAUUAAACACCAAAAAAUAAGGUGAACCUCUGCAAGAUGAAAAUAGUCAAGAUUAUAUGUGCGAUGUUCAUUAUGCUAAUAUCAGUUUUAGCAGGCACAGCUAGUGGAGUACCACCUAGAGGUCGACUUGAAUCUACCAGAAUAAAAAGAGAUGAUAAUUACCACAAUUUGGAUAGAAUUGUAAAGUAACUGGUGAACAGAGAUAUAUGUGUUGCACAACAGACUGGAACUUUCAUCUUUGAAACUUAACUAAAUAUGUUUCUAGUUAUUUUGUGAAUUAGUUUAAUUUCAUCUUUAAAUGAUACAUUUUU